Long non-coding RNA from Aethina tumida (small hive beetle), 521 nucleotides. RefSeq lists it as uncharacterized. The record is from RefSeq and is a predicted model, not a curated record. The transcript is spliced from 2 exons. Lineage: Eukaryota; Metazoa; Arthropoda; Insecta; Coleoptera; Nitidulidae.
ACUAACAGGUAUGUUUUAAUUUUAGAAAUACUAUCAUAAAUUCAAGACAUCACAAGAUAUUAAAUUUUCCUCAGAAAUGUAAAGACAAUAAAUUAAGAGUGGAGGCUUUAAAUGUCUUAAAUAUUUCACGAAGAUUUGGCGUACCACCACAUACUCUAAGAAAUUGUAGGAUAAAGUUACACGAGAAAUGUCUAUCAAGACCAGACAAAGAAAAUUGCCACACUAAAUGAAGAAAUAAUAAAAGGACUGAGAAGAUUCAUGAACACCAAGCAAGGACGUCUACUUUCAUUGAGUAGAAUAGCUAUUAGCAGUAAAGUAGAGGAAGAGACCAACUAGAUGAAAGUUUUCAAUUUAAUAUUUAAUCAGAUAUAGGAACAAUUUCUGCUACAGGGGUGAAUCUGUUGAAGAUUAACUUUAGGAAUACGUACAAUCUAUAAUGAACGAACUGCUUUAAAGAUGAUUUUGAUGAAAUGUUUUCUCAUAAUAAAAGGACUUUUAUUAAUAAAUAAGUAGUUAAUAAA